RNAcentral lists this long non-coding RNA (564 nucleotides) under Homo sapiens (human). RNAcentral's name for it is "HSALNT0045786". Lineage: Eukaryota; Metazoa; Chordata; Mammalia; Primates; Hominidae. The record is from RNAcentral.
AACUAUCUCAUAUUCGCUUAGCCCUUGGGGUGGGGAGAACCUUAGAGUCUCAAGUCAAAGUCGUGGCCCUGUGUGCUGGUUCUGGGAGCAGCGUUCUGCAGGGUGUUGAGGCUGACCUUUACCUCACAGGUGAGAUGUCCCAUCAUGAUACUUUGGAUGCUGCUUCCCAAGGAAUAAAUGUCAUCCUCUGUGAACACAGCAACACUGAACGAGGCUUUCUUUCUGACCUUCGAGAUAUGCUGGAUUCUCACUUGGAGAAUAAGAUAAAUAUUAUCCUAUCAGAGACUGACAGGGACCCUCUUCAGGUGGUAUAAUUGCAGAAACAUCAGGAUAACACAUUCUACAAAUCAGCUGGAUGCCAACUUAAAUUUGUAACAUGAGUCAGUGGGACUGGUGUGCUUCCAGAGAGUGUCUUCGAGGGUAUCAUCAUUUCCGGUUUGUUAAUCUUAUUCACCAAAUGUUCUAUCGCUCGUAAGGUAAAACUGUAAUAUAACUACCAUAUUAAAUAACAAAUGUUCAUUAUAAACUCUAGGAAAGAUUGAAUAAAAUCUGUUUACUUAACAU